GGGCAAUUUUGUAUUGAUUUUUGUGGGGCUUUGAAUGGUGCGCAACCCUCCCUACUUAUAGUGAAAGUUACACCCGUCCGCUUGAUACUCUUGGAGAGUCCUAAUUGGACUCUGUCUUGUGGAAUUGCAUCUGGUUGUACAUUCGUCUUAUAUCCUUUAGCCAAGGAUCAUAUCCCUUUAUGCCAAUAAGCUUCCCGCCUUGAAAUAUGCCAAUAAUAUGCAUGU
RNAcentral lists this long non-coding RNA (225 nucleotides) under Malus domestica (apple). Its description in RNAcentral is "long non-coding RNA (MDOM_LNC017580)". The record is from RNAcentral. Lineage: Eukaryota; Viridiplantae; Streptophyta; Magnoliopsida; Rosales; Rosaceae.